GGAGGAGCCAGUUCUUUGACCGUGUUCUCUCUGGAGAGUUCAGCUGGACAGACGAGGCUCACAGAGAACUUCUCAGGUCUAUGCUAAUGACAGCAUGUGACUUGGGUGCAGUGACCCGCCCCUGGGAGAUCUCCAAACAGGUUGCGGAGUUGGUGACCAGUGAGUUUUUCGAGCAAGGUGACAGGGAGAGGUCAGAGCUCAAGUUAACUCC
Oncorhynchus gorbuscha (pink salmon) is the source of this 211-nucleotide long non-coding RNA. RefSeq lists it as uncharacterized. The record is from RefSeq and is a predicted model, not a curated record. Lineage: Eukaryota; Metazoa; Chordata; Actinopteri; Salmoniformes; Salmonidae. The transcript is spliced from 3 exons.